RNAcentral lists this ribosomal RNA (500 nucleotides) under uncultured cyanobacterium. RNAcentral's name for it is "bacterial SSU rRNA". It matches the Rfam family "Bacterial small subunit ribosomal RNA", at positions 356 to 869 of the family's 1533-position model. Lineage: Bacteria; Bacillati; Cyanobacteriota. The record is from RNAcentral.
GGGGAAUUUUCCGCAAUGGGCGAAAGCCUGACGGAGCAAGACCGCGUGGGGGAAGAAGGCUCUUGGGUUGUAAACCCCUUUUCUCUGGGAAGAACGCAAUGACGGUACCAGAGGAAUCAGCAUCGGCUAACUCCGUGCCAGCAGCCGCGGUAAGACGGAGGAUGCAAGCGUUAUCCGGAAUGAUUGGGCGUAAAGCGUCCGCAGGUGGCAGUUCAAGUCUGCUGUCAAAGACCGGGGCUUAACCUCGGAAAGGCAGUGGAAACUGAACAGCUAGAGUAUGGUAGGGGCAAAGGGAAUUCCUGGUGUAGCGGUGAAAUGCGUAGAGAUCAGGAAGAACAUCGGUGGCGAAGGCGCUUUGCUGGACCAUAACUGACACUCAGGGACGAAAGCUAGGGGAGCGAAUGGGAUUAGAUACCCCAGUAGUCCUAGCCGUAAACGAUGGAUACUAGGUGUUGUCUGUAUCGACCCGGACAGUGCCGUAGCUAACGCGUUAAGUAUCC